Molecule: non-coding RNA, 97 nt
Organism: Acanthosepion pharaonis
Lineage: Eukaryota; Metazoa; Mollusca; Cephalopoda; Sepiida; Sepiidae
Source: the annotation of a GenBank genome assembly
CAAUAAACCUGUUCCCAUAUGAUCACCAAAAUUAAGCAAUGUUGAGUCUGGUCAGUACCUAGAUGGGGGAUCACUUGGGAAUAUCAGGAACUGUAAU